CCUCGUGAAGCCCCUCCACCAGCGCCUCUGCUCACCCCGCCGCCAGCGCAUCUCCUGGUCCCGCCGCCGGCGCAUCUGCUGGUCUCGCCGGCGCCUAAGUCCGCCCCGCUGCCGGGGAUCCCAUCGGCCUUCCCUUCAAAGCAGAGAACAAGCACUUGGAUCCCCCCAAGACCACAAGAGUCUCUGGCGGCUAGUCUGCAGCAACCAAGUGAAUCGGGUCCUACGGCUCAAGGUCCUUGUUGGGCACCGCCUGCCUGCAUCGGUGACUCUACAUCACCUUGGUACAUGGCUGGCAAUAUGGACUACUCUGAUCCACAAGUAUGGGGAGUGGAUUCUCACCCACCUGGUGGUUACCUUAGUUACUUUCAGAACACGGCAGGCCCCACACAACCUAUGCACAAUGGGAGUUCACCGCAACCAGUCAAUGCUGGCGAUGACACAAAUGGUGGUGAUUGUGGAAGGACCGAAAAACGCUUGCUAUGGACAAAACAAGAAGAUCUUCGAUUGGUAUGUCUCUUUUUGC
Triticum urartu is the source of this 523-nucleotide non-coding RNA. The record is from RefSeq and is a predicted model, not a curated record. Lineage: Eukaryota; Viridiplantae; Streptophyta; Magnoliopsida; Poales; Poaceae.